GACCUCCCAAUGCUUACCACAGGCUGUGUUCUUUACACUGACUGUAUAGAAAGAGAAGGUACAGUAAAUGCACCCCACCUCAGCCCAAGUCCUUUGCCUGGUCUGUAUUGUGAAUGGGGGGACAAAA
Suncus etruscus (white-toothed pygmy shrew) is the source of this 127-nucleotide small nucleolar RNA. RefSeq annotates it as small nucleolar RNA SNORA51. The record is from RefSeq and is a predicted model, not a curated record. Lineage: Eukaryota; Metazoa; Chordata; Mammalia; Eulipotyphla; Soricidae. The transcript has a single exon.